AUGUCAAGAUUAGGAUACUUGCUAAACAAGUCUUUGAACCUCUCCCAUGCCUCUAGAUAGAUCUCGAGAUCCUUCUGUUUAAAGUAUGACUUCAUUCUGAAUUU
This 104-nucleotide small nucleolar RNA is filed under the name Olea europaea subsp. europaea. RNAcentral describes it as "Plant small nucleolar RNA R71". It matches the Rfam family "Plant small nucleolar RNA R71". Rfam says of the family: R71 is a member of the C/D box family of snoRNAs containing the C (UGAUGA) and D (CUGA) box motifs. Multiple nearly identical copies of this snoRNA have been identified in Arabidopsis, and it is thought to function as a 2'-O-ribose methylation guide for 18S ribosomal RNA. The record is from Rfam by way of RNAcentral. Lineage: Eukaryota; Viridiplantae; Streptophyta; Magnoliopsida; Lamiales; Oleaceae.